RNAcentral lists this ribosomal RNA (403 nucleotides) under uncultured bacterium. Its description in RNAcentral is "bacterial SSU rRNA". It matches the Rfam family "Bacterial small subunit ribosomal RNA", at positions 355 to 775 of the family's 1533-position model. The record is from RNAcentral.
UAGGGAAUAUUAGUAAUGGGCGAAAGCCUGAACUAGCAACACCGCGUGUGCGAUGAAGGCCUUCGGGUUGUAAAGCACUUUUAGAGAGGACGAGGAAGGACGGUACUCUCUGAAUAAGUCUCGGCUAACUACGUGCCAGCAGCCGCGGUAAAACGUAGGAGGCAAACGUUAUCCGGAUUUACUGGGCGUAAAGCGCGUGUAGGUGGUUUGUUAAGUAGGGCGUGAAAGCUCCUGGCUCAACUGGGAGAGGUCGUUCUAAACUAACAGACUAGAGGAUGGUAGAGGGAGGUGGAAUUCCGGGUGUAGCGGUGGAAUGCGCAGAUAUCCGGAGGAACACCAGUGGCGAAAGCGGCCUCCUGGACCAACCCUGACACUCAGACGCGAAAGCUAGGGUAGCAAACGG